Molecule: ribosomal RNA, 116 nt
Filed under: Candidatus Competibacteraceae bacterium
Lineage: Bacteria; Pseudomonadati; Pseudomonadota; Gammaproteobacteria; Candidatus Competibacteraceae
Source: RNAcentral
UCUGGUGACCUUAGAGACGUGGCCCCACCCGUUCCCAUCUCGAACACGGAAGUGAAACAUGUCAUCGCCAAUGGUAGUGGGACGAUAGGUCCUGUGAGAGUAGGUCGUUGCCAGGU